GAUGCUGUGUUAUCUUUCUAUUUUGUUAAUUUUACAAAACAUUCCAACGGAAUAUUUGCAACAUUGGUUUGAAUUUCCUUUCAUCAAUGCAUUCGUAUUAAUUUUUACAGAACUACGAGAAACUUUAUUUUAUUGUAUGUUGUUUUAUUAUUGGAUUAUAUACUUCAAUGAAUGUCAAAUGAUUGAAAAAGAAUAUCAACAUUUGAAAAAAUAUCACAAAAC
This is a long non-coding RNA of Centruroides sculpturatus (bark scorpion), 222 nucleotides long. RefSeq lists it as uncharacterized. The record is from RefSeq and is a predicted model, not a curated record. Lineage: Eukaryota; Metazoa; Arthropoda; Arachnida; Scorpiones; Buthidae. The transcript is spliced from 3 exons.